CGUCGCCUUCGACCGGAUCCCUCUUUUCUGAUCGGAGGAGCUUGACGAGGGGGCGGGCUGCAGGUCACGCAGGACAUCUGCCAGUGGCCCACUGUAGGAUUUCUGCUGGGUUCUGGGAUCGCUGAUAACGCGUACGUGUAUCUGUGAAACAUGGCCUAGCUGUGAACUUACCCAGUGAUACACGAUCUGCAGUGGCUUCUCGAUUUAACCAGAAGGAGACCCAAGAUAAGACCACGAGUAAAACACAGGGCCCGUAUACUUGUAUAAGAAAAUUACCCAUAUGCCUUUGCAGAUGAAAAUAUACCAGCAACAUCGAAUAUUCCGCUGUAAUCAGAUAAUACAUUCAAUACGUAAUACAGAAAAAGUGAAAAUCUAGGGCAGUCCGAUAAACUAUUCUGUAUGGUUAUAGGUGAGCCACAAGAUUGGCAUUCAGGAGAUGAUUGUUUUGUUAACAACUACUCGUGCGUAAGUCUGGAAUGGUCGGUGCGAAUGCGGGUGAGGACGGCUUAGUUCUGAUUAGCGUUGAGACGUCGGGAAUCUCUUGCACGCUAGGUCCUACUGUGCGAAGUUUUGUAUGGGGAUUGUUGAGCCAUAAACAGUUCUAAAAUUUGCUAACGGCUCCUUUGAUAACGGUUUUAGCAUCGUGAAAAUUAGGCCUGAUUUUUCUUCACGGUGAAUAAGUUUUGAUAACCUCUUGAUUUCUACAUGACUGGGAAUCUAUAUCAAUUUGACGCUAUACUGUUUAUUUCAAUGAUCGAAUGGAUUUCUAUUUAUGAUGCUACGUGUUAAGGCGUUUUCGAUGGAUAAAGAAGGAGUUUCGCAGGAUAAAGAAGAGAAGGUAUAAUCUGCGUGUAGAAGUAAAAUUGUUUCUAACAAAUAUUUAUUAUAUUGCCCUUAAAAUUUUGUUACAAUAUAAUAGUAAAUAUAUAGAACCUAAUCUGUCCUCUUUUCCUUGUUAUACUAUAAUCCACAUUUGUAAUCUAUCUUUUAUGCUUCGAAUGAAAAAAAGAGAAAGAGGAUUACAUGCCAAUAUAAUGCAAUUUCACUCAUAAAACUAAUAAAUCGAAUUAAUUCAAUAUUCCACGAUUCUUUUCGUUCGGUCCACCUUCAGCUAUUGUUCGAUAUGUAUAUAAUAUUUAUCUUCCACUCGUUUCAAUUUUCAUCUGUAGUUGAGUUCGACAUCGAAUAUCAACAAGGUUCAACGGGAAUCGAAAUCAAACAGGGUCGCGAUCAUUAGUUUCUUCGGUUACGCACAAACCAUAUUCUAGCGUCCAACGUAGCAGCUAGUUGCUCUGUUUGUCCUGCACUUUUCCCUCGAUAACGAGUACAAUGUACAAGGAACAACCGUAUCAAACAUCAACCUGUAUUGUCUCUUUCUAUUUUCUGCGUAUUAUCCCUGGCAUCUGUUUCGAUUUGUCCAACGCAAACAGAAACGAUGUCAUGCAUACACGCGAAUGUUUGCGCCACGUUCACAGAUCCUUAAAAAAUUCUUACUACCCUAUUGAUGCAAUCAAUCAAAUCAAAACAGUGACGACGCGACGAUUGUUUGCGGAGUAUUAAUCGAUGCUAAUCCAAUUAAAAGUGGAAGUAGUUGCGAGUCGGCAUCUCCUCUCUCGUUUCUCGUUAUCAGCCGAUGGAAAUACAAGAGGGACGAGAGUUUUCUGCAGGAGGAUGCUGCAAUUAGUCGUCGUUUCUUCCGUUGCCAACUUUCAACGUGGAACCUCUUUUCCUCAUCCUCCUUCUCCUGUUUCAUCCCCUAUCCUCUUCCAUUGCUUCUCCUCCAUCUUUUCCUUUUUCUUUACGUCGUCGUUUUCUCGCACCACUUGUCCGUCCGCUCGAAUUCCACCCACUUCCGGGCUGAUUCAUUCGUACCUUCGAUAUUCCUGUAGAAUCCGUAAGCGUGGCCCGAUAAAAGUUUCCAAUCGAGUUCCUUUGCAGUCGUUAAGAGACAAUUCCUUCCUCUCGUUUCUCUAAUUCGGACAAGCCUUAGCCACCGACAUUCUUCGACGACUCUUAUCGUGGCUAUACUUUCUCUUUCGAUUAUACUUCCGUCGUCUAUCUUUUCCUUCCUCGGUUUGAUCCUUGGUACAUCGCGUCGUCGAUAAGGAUUUUUCGCUGAAAUCUAUUCUUAAAUGGAGUUUCCUUUCACGGGUUAUCGCCUAGCGUACAAGUACGGUUCUUUAGG
Long non-coding RNA from Bombus pyrosoma, 2185 nucleotides. RefSeq lists it as uncharacterized. Lineage: Eukaryota; Metazoa; Arthropoda; Insecta; Hymenoptera; Apidae. The record is from RefSeq and is a predicted model, not a curated record. The transcript has 3 exons.